GCUUCCAUAGCUCAGCAGGUAGAGCACUACCAUGGUAAGGUAGGGGUCAGCGGUUCGAAUCCGCUUGGAAGCU
Molecule: transfer RNA, 73 nt
Rfam family: tRNA
About the family: Transfer RNA (tRNA) molecules are approximately 80 nucleotides in length. Their secondary structure includes four short double-helical elements and three loops (D, anti-codon, and T loops). Further hydrogen bonds mediate the characteristic L-shaped molecular structure. tRNAs have two regions of fundamental functional importance: the anti-codon, which is responsible for specific mRNA codon recognition, and the 3' end, to which the tRNAs corresponding amino acid is attached (by aminoacyl-tRNA synthetases). tRNAs cope with the degeneracy of the genetic code in two manners: having more than one tRNA (with a specific anti-codon) for a particular amino acid; and 'wobble' base-pairing, i.e. permitting non-standard base-pairing at the 3rd anti-codon position.
Source: Rfam